RNAcentral lists this ribosomal RNA (715 nucleotides) under uncultured fungus. RNAcentral's name for it is "SSU rRNA". It matches the Rfam family "Eukaryotic small subunit ribosomal RNA", at positions 332 to 1051 of the family's 1831-position model. Lineage: Eukaryota; Fungi. The record is from RNAcentral.
GAUAGAGGCCUACCAUGGUGGUAACGGGUAACGGGGUGUUAGGGCACGACACCGGAGAGGGAGCCUGAGAAACGGCUACCACAUCCAAGGAUGGCAGCAGGCGCGCAAAUUACCCAAUCCCGACACGGGGAGGUAGUGACAAUAAAUAACAAUACGGGGUUCUUUCGGAUCUCGUAAUUGGAAUGAGUACAAUUUAAAUCUCUUAACGAGGAACAAUUGGAGGGCAAGUCUGGUGCCAGCAGCCGCGGUAAUUCCAGCUCCAAUAGCGUAUAUUAAAGUUGUUGCAGUUAAAAAGCNNNUAGUUGAAUUUCGGGGUUAGUAGGUUGGUCAUGCCUCUGGUAUGUACUGGUCUCACUGAUUCCUCCUUCCUGAUGAACCGUAAUGCCAUUAAUUUGGUGUUGCGGGGAAUUUGGACUGUUACUUUGAAAAAAUUAGAGUGUUUAAAGCAAGCUAACGCUUGAAUACAUUAGCAUGGAAUAAUGAAAUAGGACGUUCGAUCUUAUUUUGUUGGUUUCUAGGAUUGACGUAAUGAUUAAUAGGGAUAGUUGGGGGCAUUAGUAUUCAAUUGUCAGAGGUGAAAUCCUUGGAUUUAUUGAAGACUAACUACUGCGAAAGCAUUUGCCAAGGAUGUUUUCAUUAAUCAAGAACGAAAGUUAGGGGAUCGAAGACGAUCAGAUACCGUCGUAGUCUUAACCAUAAACUAUGCCGACUAGGG